Molecule: ribosomal RNA, 440 nt
Filed under: uncultured bacterium
Lineage: Bacteria
Description: partial 16S ribosomal RNA
Rfam family: Bacterial small subunit ribosomal RNA
Source: RNAcentral
CCUACGGGUGGCUGCAGUAGGGAAUAUUGCUCAAUGGGGGAAACCCUGAAGCAGCAACGCCGCGUGGAGGAUGAAGGUUUUCGGAGUGGAAAGUCCUGUUGGUAGAGAAGAGAAUGACGGUAUCUAACGAAUAAGCACCGGCUAACUCCGUGCCAGCAGCCGCGGUAAUACGGAGGGGGCAAGCGUUACUCGGAUUUACUGGGCGUAAAGAGCGCGUAGGCGGGAGUGCAAGUCAGAUGUGAAAUCCUAUGGCUUAACCACAGAACUGCCUUUGAAACUGUUAUUCUAGAGUAUGGGAGAGGUAGGUGGAAUUCUUGGUGUAGCGGUCAAAUCCGUAGAGAUCAAGAGGAAUACUCAUUGCGAAGGCGACCUGCUAGACCAUAACUGACGCUGAUGCGCGAAAGCGUGGGGAGCAAACAGGAUUAGAUACCUCGGUAGUC